AAUUAAUGAAGAGUUUGAUCCUGGCUCAGAACGAACGCUGGUGGCGUGUCUUAUACAUGCAAGUCGAGCGGGGACUUCGGUCCUAGCGGCG
Molecule: ribosomal RNA, 91 nt
Filed under: Fibrobacter sp. UWH5
Lineage: Bacteria; Pseudomonadati; Fibrobacterota; Fibrobacteria; Fibrobacterales; Fibrobacteraceae
Description: 16S rRNA. Bacterial SSU
Rfam family: Bacterial small subunit ribosomal RNA
Source: RNAcentral